UUUGUAAUUAGGAAAACAACAAAGAUUAAAACCAAGAGAAAAAAAACAAAUUUAUUUUAGGUGGCAGGCAGUCAGGCCUUGCCUGGCCAUAUCACUUAUCAGAUGUGUGGUUGUGCAACCUGACUACCAGGUUUCAACUCCUGAGAUAUUGCUGUCAAACUCAGGUACAAAAUCUUUCCCACAAGCCCAGCCUGAGGGCUCAUCCUUAUUCACUGCAGUUUCUCUUGAUUUCUUUUUGACCCUCUACUGCCACUGCUGAUCUCUGGCCAUCCUCUUCCUGUCUCCUUGUCCAGCUGGGCCAGAUAAACAGACUUCUGGCAUUUUCAUGCAUGAUUCAUAACUUUAUGUAAAUGCUCUGGCAAGCUGGAUGAAUGGACAUGAUCCAAUAAAGAUAUUGAGCCUGAGAAUAAAACGCAGUAAAAGAGUGUUGAGAGCACAGAACUCCUCUGAAGUGGAAGGAUCCUUCUCACAGGAUGAAACCAUGUCUCACAUACUCCAGUAUUCUCAAAAGCCUAAUAUAGAACUGAGCAUGUACCAGAGCCUCAAUAUAUCUUUAUUUUUGUAAAUUAAAAAUUUAUACCGAUAUAUAAUGCAUAAGUGUGCCUUUUUUUUUUUCUUUUGCCUUUUCUAGAGCUGCUCCGCGGCACAUGGAGGUUCCCAGGCUAGGGGUCUAAUUGGAGCUGUAACCGCCGGCCUAUGCCACAGCCACAGCAACGCAGUAUCCGAGCCACGUCUGCAACCUAC
This 744-nucleotide long non-coding RNA is filed under the name Sus scrofa (pig). RNAcentral's name for it is "lncRNA (ENSSSCG00055003180.1)". The record is from RNAcentral. Lineage: Eukaryota; Metazoa; Chordata; Mammalia; Artiodactyla; Suidae.